GGGACUGAGAGUGGAGCAUAAUGACCACCAAAAGGAGGUUCCUGACCCGCGGCUAUAACUUCUUCAUGAUGUUUCUGUAAAUAACGAAGCAUUGCUUUCUCCAAUGCGCUCAUUUUCUUUGGCUUAUCCUGAGGGCCAACUAUGAUUUUCCCCUUGCCGAAAGAGGAACGACGAUCGCCCCCACCAUUGCCACUUCCUCCAGUAGCAGAAGCCAUCUAUGUACAAAUAUUCUUACCUUAGCACUGCAGAACUUGUUGAACUUAAAGACCGUGAUCAUCUCGUGAG
RNAcentral lists this long non-coding RNA (285 nucleotides) under Setaria viridis. RNAcentral describes it as "long non-coding RNA (SVIR_LNC009483)". Lineage: Eukaryota; Viridiplantae; Streptophyta; Magnoliopsida; Poales; Poaceae. The record is from RNAcentral.